This 496-nucleotide ribosomal RNA is filed under the name uncultured bacterium. RNAcentral describes it as "partial 16S ribosomal RNA". It matches the Rfam family "Bacterial small subunit ribosomal RNA", at positions 28 to 506 of the family's 1533-position model. The record is from RNAcentral.
GAUGAACGCUGGCGGCGUGCCUAAUACAUGCAAGUCGAGCGAACAGACGAGGAGCUUGCUCCUCUGACGUUAGCGGCGGACGGGUGAGUAACACGUGGAUAACCUACCUAUAAGACUGGGAUAACUUCGGGAAACCGGAGCUAAUACCGGAUAAUAUAUUGAACCGCAUGGUUCAAUAGUGAAAGACGGUUUUGCUGUCACUUAUAGAUGGAUCCGCGCCGCAUUAGCUAGUUGGUAAGGUAACGGCUUACCAAGGCAACGAUGCGUAGCCGACCUGAGAGGUGGAUCGGCCACACUGGAACUGAGACACGGUCCAGACUCCUACGGGAGGCAGCAGUAGGGAAUCUGCCGCAAUGGGCGAAAGCUUGACGGAGCAACGCCGCGUGAGUGAUGAAGGUCUGCGGAUCGUAAAACUCUGUUAUUAGGAAAGAACAAAUGUGUAAGUAACUAUGCACGUCUUGACGGUACCUAAUCAGAAAGCCACGGCUAACUACGU